Molecule: long non-coding RNA, 791 nt
Filed under: Panax ginseng (ginseng)
Lineage: Eukaryota; Viridiplantae; Streptophyta; Magnoliopsida; Apiales; Araliaceae
Description: long non-coding RNA (PGIN_LNC010125)
Source: RNAcentral
GUAAAUGGCAAGCCGAAAACGCGAAUCUAGCCACCCCGAACGUUGAUCCAUGUAACUUUUGUCCCAAUUCCUACAAAAUAAUAUAAACAUGCAUGAAUAGACACAAACACAUAAAAACAUUCUAAAAGACUUGAGAACAACAAUAAAUUAAGCCCGAAUGUAUCCAAUUCAUGUGUAUAAAACUCACUCAUCAAAUCCCCCCAAACUUAAACCUUUGCUUGUCCUCAAGCAAAAACACAAAAAUGUUAUGCAAUGCAAUGUAAUGAAACUAAUCUAUAUGCCUACGACUCCAACAGUAAUGACAGAAACAGGUCUAUUCAACCGGCCUUAGAGAAAUCAAGUAAACAUGAUAAUACAUCAUAUUAAAACAAAUCAGUAAUUUUCCAAUCAAUCAUCAAAUCUUAGACUGUUAUCACUGAUAUAGUGCGUGUGUGCUCCACAACAAUGUUAACUGAUAUAAAAUCAAAUUUAACACAUAAUAGGUCUCUUUAAAGGCAUCAUACAGUGAAAACUCACAAAAUUCACGAACAAGCUAGAUCUAACUAAAGUCAAACAUCCACCAAGUUCAAGAGUCCAAUCCGGGAUACUUAUGCUUUACUUUUCAUUGCGAGGGCUUUUUGCUCUUUUCCUGUUUUAUUGUUUUAUUUUUAUUUUUUUACUUUUUUUUUUAACCAUGACUGUGCAAUGUCUCAUUCCAUUAGGCUAACAGUGUCACCCCUUAGCGAGCUUUCGACCAACGAAUCCCAGACCAUAUAAGACCUUAGGGCGCUAGGUUUUAAGAUACCCCUUCG